Molecule: long non-coding RNA, 1170 nt
Filed under: Mytilus galloprovincialis (Mediterranean mussel)
Lineage: Eukaryota; Metazoa; Mollusca; Bivalvia; Mytilida; Mytilidae
Source: RNAcentral
CGAAAACUAAUUAAUAAUCCUUCUAUUUCACCACAGAAAACCGUAACUUAAAUCCGAAACGUUUUAUGAUUAUAUAAUUAAAGUGCGCCUCGUUAUGAAAUUAAUAUGGCUGCGCCCAUGUAGUGAAAAAUAUGAACCUGCCAAAACUAACACAGUCAAUACAUGGUAUAUCUUCAAUAUUUUCACAUCAAAUAUGAAAUUGAGAAACAUUUGAAAGCACCACAGAAUGUACUUGAUGACAUACAUGCACCAUGUAGGUGUACACUUGCAUCUUGACUCUGAGUGCACAAAUGCAUUCUAAUUUCAAACAAGUAAUAGCUUUUCUAAAAAGCUAGCCGUCUCUUAGCUUCAGGAUGAAAGUAGAAAGUGUUAAAAUUCAUAAAGGCUAAUACAAUUUUUCCUAAUUUACUAAUGUUUUUUUGGGAUAAUUUACCAACACUGGAUUAGAAAGGGUGAUGCCUUAACUGUUUUUUUUAAUUAAAUAUGAAAAUAUUUAUAAAAGUAUAUUUUAAACAUGGCUCUGGGAUAAUUAUUGUUUUUGCCAGUAUUUUAACUCUCUGUAUAGCAGUAUAAUUGUAGAUUUAAUAUUAAUGCAUACAUAUUACACUCGUUAAUGUCUUACUUGAAAUACUACAGUUAUGCAUUAUAAAAGCUAAAAAAAAAAAAAAAGCAUAAAUGUAAAUUUCAGUGUGUAUCUAUAUAUAUGUCUGACAUGAUGACUCACCUAUCACACACAUAAUAAGAAACAAAGUGAAAUAUAGUUUUUUUAAAUACAAUGUAUUAGUAGAAAUUGACAGUAGAGUUCUAGUUAAUCUAUAUUAAUUAAUAUUGACAACACUACAUGUAGUUUUAUUAUGGAUUUUUGUAUAAUUUCAGGUUCUGAAAAAAUCACAGGGGAUGAUAAAUUUAGACAAGAAGGAUCGACCACCAACAUGCUACACUUACUGGAACUUGAAAAACCUGCAAUUCACAAGAACAAGCCAAAGACUAGUAUUACCGUACAAAGUGGUUGAGGGUAUGGUCCCAGCUAUCCAAACCUGACAAAUUAUUGGUAACAAGCAAUCUUUACCAAAAAGGAACAUCAAGCCGACACACGCUUUGCAGACUUUGAAAGUGAUAAUUUAUAAAUUUGGUUAAGGCUAUUGAAACAACAAACUGUGAAAACGAGCA